GCGUAUAGAAUCUGCCUUGUACAGGAGGAUAGCCUUUAGAAAUGAAGAUUAAUACUCCAUAAUGUUAAUGAUUGGCAUCAGUUAUUAAUUAAACAUUUAUGGGUACAAGAUGACUAUGCGUCCUAUUAGCUAGAUGGUAAGGUAACGGCUUACCAUGGCAACGAUAGGUAGGGGGUCUGAGAGGAUUAUCCCCCACACUGGUACUGAGACACGGACCAGACUCCUACGGGAGGCAGCAGUGAGGAAUAUUGGUCAAUGGAGGCAACUCUGAACCAGCUAUGCCGCGUGCAGGACGACUGC
RNAcentral lists this ribosomal RNA (300 nucleotides) under uncultured Tenacibaculum sp. RNAcentral describes it as "bacterial SSU rRNA". It matches the Rfam family "Bacterial small subunit ribosomal RNA", at positions 115 to 415 of the family's 1533-position model. The record is from RNAcentral. Lineage: Bacteria; Pseudomonadati; Bacteroidota; Flavobacteriia; Flavobacteriales; Flavobacteriaceae.